UUCAUAUCAUAAAAUGUCGAACCAUAGAUGAGGCUGGAAUUUCUAAAACAACAUAGUCAUAAGGUAGGCACGGCACAGCCUCCAAGCCAUGAACAAAAUAUACGUAACUAGAUCGCUACACAACUAAUAAAAGGAUAAAUCAACAUCAACUGUUAUUCCUAUAGUAAAAUAGUCCUACCAUACACGCUGAUGAUGAUCUCCUAAUUGUAGGUUGAUGGGAACCUUAGGAUGAUUUGUGCUUUAAUUUUCUAUUCCCAGAAGGUGCCCUGGGUGGUGUCCAUGGUGUGGUUUCUGCUCAUGGGGAGGCUUCUCUCCCUUACCUUUGGGUGGUAUUACAUAUUUGUGUGGCUCACUUAAGAGGUGUCUAUGAGGAGGUUUAGGUUCAUGAGGUGCUCCCUUUCCCUUACCCUUGGAUGGUUUGUCACCGGGGAAUGGUUUCAUGGAUGGCUUACCGUCAGGGAAUCCUUCAACAUGUGGAGGUUUACCCCCUGAGUGUCGUGGAGGUUUAUGUGUGUCCUCAACUUCCACAUUCAAUAGGUGUCUAUGAGGAGGUUUGGGUUCAUGAGGUGCUCCCUUUCCCUUACCCUUGGAUGGUUUGUCACCAGGGAAUCCUUCAACAUGCGGAGGUUUACCCCCUGAAUGUCGUGGAGGUUUACCACCUGAUUGUUGUGGAGGUUUAUGUGUGCCCUCAACUUCCACACUCAAUAGGUGUCUGUGAGGAGGUUUGGGUUCAUGAGGUGCCCCUUUUCCCUUACCCUUGGAUGGUUUGUCACCAGGGAAUCCUUCAACAUGUGGAGGUUUACCCCCUGAAUGUCGUGGAGGUUUACCACCUGAGUGCUGUGGAGGUUUAUGUGUGCCCUCAACUUCCACACUCAAUAAGUGUCUAUGAGGAGGUUUGGGUUCAUGAGGUGCUCCCUUUCCCUUACCCUUGGAUGGUUUUUCACCAGGGAAUGGCUUCAUGGGUGCUUUAUCGGUAGGGAACCCCUCAACAUGUGGAG
This 998-nucleotide long non-coding RNA is filed under the name Gossypium barbadense (sea-island cotton). RNAcentral's name for it is "long non-coding RNA (GBAR_LNC020076)". Lineage: Eukaryota; Viridiplantae; Streptophyta; Magnoliopsida; Malvales; Malvaceae. The record is from RNAcentral.